RNAcentral lists this ribosomal RNA (460 nucleotides) under uncultured bacterium. Its description in RNAcentral is "partial 16S ribosomal RNA". It matches the Rfam family "Bacterial small subunit ribosomal RNA", at positions 338 to 795 of the family's 1533-position model. The record is from RNAcentral.
CCUACGGGAGGCAGCAGUGAGGAAUAUUGGUCAAUGGCCGGAAGGCUGAACCAGCCAUGCCGCGUGAAGGUCAGUGCCCUAUGGGCGUUAAACUUCUUUUGUGCAGGAGCAAUAAUGGUCACGUGUGGCCAGACGAGAGUACCGUACGAAUAAGCAUCGGCUCACUCCGUGCCAGCAGCCGCGGUAAUACGGGGGAUGCAAGCGUUAUCCGGAUUUAUUGGGUUUAAAGGGUGCGUAGGCUGUGAGGUAAGUCAGCGGUGAAAUGCCCCCGCUCAACGGGGUGAAGUGCCAUUGAUACUGCCUGGCUGGAAUGCGGAUGCCGUGGGAGGAAUGUGUGGUGUAGCGGUGAAAUGCAUAGAUAUCACACAGAACACCGAUUGCGAAGGCAUCUCACGAAGCCGCGAUUGACGCUGAUGCACGAAAGCGUGGGUAUCAAACAGGAUUAGAUACCCCUGUAGUC